CAGACAUGGACCGGGCCAGCUUAUCGGCUGCUGGGUCGGUUCCGUGUCCGGGCCUCCGGAGCUGCUUGACGCUGACUUAGCAGGAGGAAGGAGGCUGGAGCAGUGGCGUCGUUUUUGGUCGUCUCCCAUGAAGUUCACGAUGACGGACAGUUCGAUCCGACGCCGAUGUACCUUGACUUGGAGCCUGGGCUCUUUAGCUACCAUUCAUAUCAUUCUUCUCUUCAGUUUGUCAUCAACUUUACAAUUCUGAAAAUAUUAAACUUCUGAAAAAUAUCAGCAACUGUAGUCACAGGAAUAUUUAGCUGCUUGUAGAAGGUUUCAGAGUUUUUAUCCUGUAACGUGUCUGAAAUUUUUGUUUUAAUCUCCUGGGACAUUUUCAAUAUCUGCAUUUCCAUUAUGAAUGUGCGCAAAAGUUUGUUGAUAUUCUGCUAAUGUAAAAAAAAACACAAUUUAGUCAUUUCCAUUAAAUAAAAAAUGCAAUUAAAAUCA
Xiphophorus couchianus (Monterrey platyfish) is the source of this 489-nucleotide long non-coding RNA. RefSeq lists it as uncharacterized. The transcript has 2 exons. The record is from RefSeq and is a predicted model, not a curated record. Lineage: Eukaryota; Metazoa; Chordata; Actinopteri; Cyprinodontiformes; Poeciliidae.